RNAcentral lists this ribosomal RNA (496 nucleotides) under uncultured bacterium. RNAcentral's name for it is "partial 16S ribosomal RNA". It matches the Rfam family "Bacterial small subunit ribosomal RNA", at positions 28 to 507 of the family's 1533-position model. The record is from RNAcentral.
GAUGAACGCUGGCGGCGUGCCUAAUACAUGCAAGUCGAGCGAACGGACGAGAAGCUUGCUUCUCUGAUGUUAGCGGCGGACGGGUGAGUAACACGUGGAUAACCUACCUAUAAGACUGGGAUAACUUCGGGAAACCGGAGCUAAUACCGGAAAUAUUUUGAACCGCAUGGUUCAAAAGUGAAAGACGGUCUUGCUGUCACUUAUAGAUGGAUCCGCGCUGCAUUAGCUAGUUGGUAAGGUAACGGCUUACCAAGGCAACGAUGCAUAGCCGACCUGAGAGGGUGAUCGGCCACACUGGAACUGAGACACGGUCCAGACUCCUACGGGAGGCAGCAGUAGGGAAUCUUCCGCAAAGGGCGAAAGCCUGACGGAGCAACGCCGCGUGAGUGAUGAAGGUCUUCGGAUCGUAAAACUCUGUUAUUAGGGAAGAACAUAUGUGUAAGUAACUGUGCACAUCUUGACGGUACCUAAUCAGAAAGCCACGGCUAACUACGUG